CCUACGGGGGGCUGCAGUGAGGAAUAUUGGUCAAUGGACGAGAGUCUGAACCGGCCAAGUAGCGUGAAGGAUGACUGCCCUAUGGGUUGUAAACUUCUUUUAUAUGGGAAUAAAAUGUUCCACGUGUGGGAUUUUGUAUGUACCAUAUGAAUAAGGAUCGGCUAACUCCGUGCCAGCAGCCGCGGUAAUACGGAGGAUCCGAGCGUUAUCCGGAUUUAUUGGGUUUAAAGGGAGCGUAGGUGGAUUGUUAAGUCAGUUGUGAAAGUUUGCGGCUCAACCGUAAAAUUGCAGUUGAAACUGGCAGUCUUGAGUACAGUAGAGGUGGGCGGAAUUCGUGGUGUAGCGGUGAAAUGCUUAGAUAUCACGAAGAACUCCGAUUGCGAAGGCAGUUCACUGGACUGCAACUGACACUGAGGCUCGAAAGUGUGGGUAUCAAACAGGAUUAGAUACCCUAGUUC
This 458-nucleotide ribosomal RNA is filed under the name uncultured bacterium. RNAcentral's name for it is "partial 16S ribosomal RNA". It matches the Rfam family "Bacterial small subunit ribosomal RNA", at positions 338 to 793 of the family's 1533-position model. The record is from RNAcentral.